RNAcentral lists this ribosomal RNA (492 nucleotides) under uncultured bacterium. RNAcentral's name for it is "partial 16S ribosomal RNA". It matches the Rfam family "Bacterial small subunit ribosomal RNA", at positions 29 to 507 of the family's 1533-position model. The record is from RNAcentral.
AGUGAACGCUGGCGGUAGGCCUAACACAUGCAAGUCGAACGGCAGCACAGUAAGAGCUUGCCCUUACGGGUGGCGAGUGGCGGACGGGUGAGGAAUACAUCGGAAUCUACUUUUUCGUGGGGGAUAACGUAGGGAAACUUACGCUAAUACCGCAUACGACCUACGGGUGAAAGCAGGGGAUAUUCGCACCUUGCGCGAUUGAAUGAGCCGAUGUCGGAUUAGCUAGUUGGCGGGGUAAAGGCCCACCAAGGCGACGAUCCGUAGCUGGUCUGAGAGGAUGAUCAGCCACACUGGAACUGAGACACGGUCCAGACUCCUACGGGAGGCAGCAGUGGGGAAUAUUGGGCAAUGGGCGCAAGCCUGAUCCAGCCAUACCGCGUGGGUGAAGAAGGCCUUCGGGUUGUAAAGCCCUUUUGUUGGGAAAGAAAAGCAGCAGGUUAAUACCCCGCUGUUCUGACGGUACCCAAAGAAUAAGCACCGGCUAACUUCGUG